Molecule: long non-coding RNA, 163 nt
Organism: Octopus sinensis (East Asian common octopus)
Lineage: Eukaryota; Metazoa; Mollusca; Cephalopoda; Octopoda; Octopodidae
Exons: 3
Source: RefSeq, a predicted model, not a curated record
GAUUACUUCGUGAACUACCUGGUUUACAAUACAGGUGACUAGACCAUAACCCACACCACCAGAUAUUUUAAGCAUCUCAGCAGUAAUUUCUGAUGAGCUGGGGGCUUUCCCUGGCUUCAUAUCCUUAAUUGCUUUAUCUACCAGGGUGUUGUUGAUUCAGCUA